GUUUGGGGCUGUUUUGGGGCUCGUUUUGGCCUCGCUUUUUGGGGUGCUUUGGGGCAGUUUCGGGGCUGAUUUUGAUCUUGAUUUCGGGGCUGGGUUUUGGCACGCUUUGGGAUUUGCUUUGGGGGUCGAUUUUGGGGGAGUUCUGGGGUGUCUGGGGGCUUGUUGUGGCCUUGCUCAUGCGGUGUUCACGGCCUUGCUUUUUGGGGUGCUUUGGGGCAGGUUUGGGGCUUGUUUUGGCCCCGAUUUUUGGGCUGGUGGGGGCUGGUUUGGAGCUGGCUUUGACCUUGCUUUUGGGCUUGGUGUUGGCAUGGCUUGGGAUUUGCUUUGGGGGCAGUUCUCGGGGGUGAUGUGGGGCUUGCUUUGGGGUGAUUCGGGGCUUGUUUUGGCCUUGCUCUGUGGGGUGCUUUGGGGCUGGUUUGGGGGGGACUGGUUUGGGGCUGUUUGGGGAGCAUUUGGGGGCAGGUUUUGGGGUGUUCAGGGCCGGUUUGCGCUCUCUGACGGUCUCUCUGUCCCCCAGCUCUGCAGCUGCCCCUGCCGCCCUUCCUGGUGCCCCGCAGCGUGGAGAGCAUUGAGAUUGACCAGAAGCUGCAGGAGAUCAUGAAGCAGACCGGCUACCUCACCGUGGGGGGACAGGUGAGCGUGGGGGGGCACUGGGGGUGGGGGCAGGAGGUGAGGAUCAAGCAGAAUUGGGAUUGGCCAACACUUGGGUUGGGUUUGGUUGGGUU
Molecule: long non-coding RNA, 725 nt
Filed under: Numida meleagris (helmeted guineafowl)
Lineage: Eukaryota; Metazoa; Chordata; Aves; Galliformes; Numididae
Description: lncRNA (ENSNMEG00000002760.1)
Source: RNAcentral